Molecule: non-coding RNA, 73 nt
Organism: Stegodyphus mimosarum
Lineage: Eukaryota; Metazoa; Arthropoda; Arachnida; Araneae; Eresidae
Source: Rfam
GCCUUCGUGGUGUAGCGGUCAGCACGCCCGGCUCGUAUUCGAGAGGUCCAUGGUUCGAGUCUCGGCGAAAGCA